Molecule: transfer RNA, 75 nt
Filed under: Nitrososphaera sp.
Lineage: Archaea; Thermoproteati; Nitrososphaerota; Nitrososphaeria; Nitrososphaerales; Nitrososphaeraceae
Also listed under: 3 other names
Description: tRNA-Cys
Rfam family: tRNA
About the family: Transfer RNA (tRNA) molecules are approximately 80 nucleotides in length. Their secondary structure includes four short double-helical elements and three loops (D, anti-codon, and T loops). Further hydrogen bonds mediate the characteristic L-shaped molecular structure. tRNAs have two regions of fundamental functional importance: the anti-codon, which is responsible for specific mRNA codon recognition, and the 3' end, to which the tRNAs corresponding amino acid is attached (by aminoacyl-tRNA synthetases). tRNAs cope with the degeneracy of the genetic code in two manners: having more than one tRNA (with a specific anti-codon) for a particular amino acid; and 'wobble' base-pairing, i.e. permitting non-standard base-pairing at the 3rd anti-codon position.
Source: RNAcentral
GCACCGGUCGCCAAGUGGCUAAGGCACGAGCCUGCAAAGCUCGCAUCGCCGGUUCAACUCCGGCCCGGUGCUCCA